AUUUGAUGUUGCAGACAUCUAGUGUACAAUUUAUUGAACCUCUCCUAAUAUUCAUAUAGGGAUUCCCCAGAAUUUUGCUUGAUAUCGUAUAUUUCUUUUCUUAAACU
This is a small nucleolar RNA of Coffea eugenioides, 107 nucleotides long. The record is from RefSeq and is a predicted model, not a curated record. NCBI's taxonomy places the organism in Eukaryota, Viridiplantae, Streptophyta, Magnoliopsida, Gentianales, Rubiaceae.